This 320-nucleotide ribosomal RNA is filed under the name uncultured eukaryote. Its description in RNAcentral is "partial 18S ribosomal RNA". It matches the Rfam family "Eukaryotic small subunit ribosomal RNA", at positions 1470 to 1796 of the family's 1831-position model. The record is from RNAcentral.
CCCUUAGAUGUUCUGGGCUGCACGCGCGCUACACUGACACACGCAACGAGUCUCCUGCCCUGACAGGGUCGGGUAAUCAUUUGAGUGUGUGUCGUGAUGGGGAUAGAGUAUUGCAAUUAUUGCUCUUGAACGAGGAAUUCCUAGUAAGCACAAGUCAGCAGCUUGUGCUGAUUACGUCCCUGCCCUUUGUACACACCGCCCGUCGCUCCUACCGAGGGGGUGAUCCGGUGAAUGAUUCGGACUCUGGUGCUGCUAGCUGCUAGAUGCGCCGGAGGAAGUUUUGUGAACCUUAUCACUUGGAGGAAGGAGAAGUCGUAACA